GCGCUCAGUUUGGCAGCACAUAUACUAAAAUUAGAGCAAUACAGAGAAUGUNAGCAUGGCUUUAAGAAAGGAUAAGACACAAAUUCAUGAAGUGUUCCACAUUUUU
Molecule: small nuclear RNA, 106 nt
Filed under: Neotoma lepida (desert woodrat)
Lineage: Eukaryota; Metazoa; Chordata; Mammalia; Rodentia; Cricetidae
Source: RNAcentral